UAGGGGUAAGCUUUGAGGGAAGUGUUUAAUUUUUGCUUAAAUGAGAUAAUUUAUUUAUACCUUUAA
This 66-nucleotide transfer RNA is filed under the name Botrylloides leachii. RNAcentral's name for it is "transfer RNA-Lys". Lineage: Eukaryota; Metazoa; Chordata; Ascidiacea; Stolidobranchia; Styelidae. The record is from RNAcentral.